Molecule: non-coding RNA, 1091 nt
Organism: Equus caballus (horse)
Lineage: Eukaryota; Metazoa; Chordata; Mammalia; Perissodactyla; Equidae
Source: RefSeq, a predicted model, not a curated record
AGGGGACGCUGGAGAUGCUGCCAGAGGCGGGGGGGAAAGGACGGACUCCAUGAGGGAGGGGCGAGGCCAGAGCGGGAUUGUAAACACCUUAGGGCAGGGACCAUAUCUUCGCCAUCUUUGUAUCCCAGCAUCCAGCACAGAUCUGACUCAUGAAAAUUGAAAAUCACAUAUGGGGCACACAUGCUCUUUCUAUUGGACACUGGGACUCCAGAUGCUCAAAGCCGUAGGUCCGUUCUUUCUCCAGGAGGUGGCGAUCCCGUCCUGGCUUUGAUACCUCCAUUCCAGAAAGGUCUGGAAGGUUCCUGAGGAAACUGCCUGUGUAAUAUGGCAGAUAUUGAACUGUAAAUAAAGAUGGGGCCCUACUCAGCCCUGCAGUGAAGCUGGCCUAUCUAUGCAAAGGAGGCCUCAAAAUAAGUCCACAGGAAGUCAAGAAGCUAAGUGCCAUCCUCCUCAACAGAAGAAUCGACACCCAGUUGAUAGAUUCCUACUCUGUAGGCGGCAUGAUGCCACACUUUCAACACACUCUCUGUUUUCCAGGGGCUUAUAAGUCUAUUGGGGAUGGGCACAGUAGAUGCUGUGGUGCACAGCGCAAGCCCGCCUUCAUGUCUGAGGCACUCCUCCCCCCAGCUGCGUCCCUCUCCAAGGACUGCUCUGCACUGAAGGAAGAUGCCUCACCCAUCCAAUGACUCUCUGUGAGGGGGAACAAAGCCUGGCCCUCUCCCCUCUAUUCAGAACAUUGGGGCAAGGCCACCCCAGCCUCAGAGCUCCUCCUGGGAUCAGCUGAGGCCUCUGCUGCAAUGACCUCAACACAGUUAAACUUCUCGCUCUGCCUGCUGCUGCUGACCUGAUGCCCUCACAGGUGCUGGCCUGAGAGGGCUCCCGAUAACUGCCUUCAUGCAGAUCUCAGAGCCUUAGUCAAUUUCCUAUUGGUGCCAAAUGUGGUCCUAGGGAACAGACUCCAAAUGGGAUUCUGGAACUGGAUCAUCUGUCUGCUAAUGAGGACCCACCUCAUUAGUGGUAGGUGGAAUAUUCUGGCCCCUGGCAUGCUGUAGUGAUACAAUUGUUAAAACUUUCAUGGGCAUGGGGCCAGC